AUUGAACGCUGGCGGCGUGCUUAACACAUGCAAGUCGAGCGGCAGCGCGGGGGCAACCCUGGCGGCGAGCGGCGGACGGGUGAGCAAUACAUAGGAAUCUGCCUCAGAGCGAGGGAUAGCCAGGGGAAACCCUGAUUAAUACCGCAUGACGUCGAGAGACCAAAGUGGGGGAUCGUAAGACCUCACACUCUGAGAUGAGCCUAUGUCGGAUUAGCUAGUUGGCGGGGUAACGGCCCACCAAGGCGACGAUCCGUAGCUGGUCUGAGAGGACGAUCAGCCACACCGGAACUGAGACACGGUCCGGACUCCUACGGGAGGCAGCAAUAGGGAAUAUUGGACAAUGGGCGAAAGCCUGAUCCAGCGACGCCGCGUGGGUGAAGAAGGCCUUCGGGUUGUAAAGCCCUUUAAGCCGGGACGAAAAAGCUACACCUAACACGUGUGGCCUUGACGGUACCGGAAGAAUAAGCACCGGCUAACUCUGUGCCAGCCGCCGCGGUAA
This 499-nucleotide ribosomal RNA is filed under the name uncultured bacterium. Its description in RNAcentral is "partial 16S ribosomal RNA". It matches the Rfam family "Bacterial small subunit ribosomal RNA", at positions 29 to 523 of the family's 1533-position model. The record is from RNAcentral.